Long non-coding RNA from Cottoperca gobio, 1510 nucleotides. RefSeq lists it as uncharacterized. The transcript is spliced from 2 exons. NCBI's taxonomy places the organism in Eukaryota, Metazoa, Chordata, Actinopteri, Perciformes, Bovichtidae. The record is from RefSeq and is a predicted model, not a curated record.
GUUCAUUGCAGGCAGUGAGGAUGAAACAGGAUCUGAAACGAUAAGAGAAUUACUGACAAGUCACCUGAUGGUGGGAGCUGGUCCACCUGCUGGGAGCUGCAGCUGAACCAUAAAGCCACGGACAGUGACACCUUGUUCUGUUUGAGGACUCGGUGACACAUGUAAUUCACAGCUGUGCACAGCAGCCAACAACUACGGCUGUGUUCAUUUUUGCUUCAGUGACCAUGGCAGCCUGCCCCUGCUGUCCCCGGGCAGUGCUGCACAGAGUCAACAGACUGUCAAGCCAUCAGCUGGAUGCCCAAUCUCAUUUCACAUGCAAAGAGAAGGAGACAGUCUGUUCAAAAGUGAAUGUCCUCCACGUGCCCAUAAGCAGGCCUGUUGUGAGAGUAAUCAGCUGAAUGUUUAAUGAAGACACUCUGACAUAAUUGCCUUCCAGUGAUGUGUGGAUGUUAGUGCAAUGUAAAGUGAGCAGCUCUGUAGCGUCAGAAUGAACAUGCACUUAUUUACUUCUUCUUGAGAAGCGAUGUGGCGGUGCCAGUAGAUGACAUGCCUAAUGCGGUUCACUGGCAUGAGAUCAUUCUGUCAACAGGGCCCUGAAGCAUCCUCGAGGGUCAAGCUGAAAUGUUCUUCCACACAAACCCGUUCCUCCUUUCUCAUUUAUCAGCUAUGUUUCAAAAGACCAAACAAAAUUAAACUACUGACGACCUGUGCCUUCUUUCCUGUGUCAGGGGCGGUGUGGUAGAGAUUAUGAUUUUCUAAUAAUCCUAACAUAUUUAAUUACAAGUAAUUUGUUUCUACAAUAUAUAUGCACAUGGUUAGAGAAUUAAAACAAUUUCAAAGCAUUAAUAAGUGUUGUGUUGUUUGAAGCUGUCAGGUUGACAUGCUGUUGGAUUCACAAAACUAUGGGAGCAAAUAAGAAACAAAAGCAGUUGAAUUUUAACAACCACUUAACCACUACUUAAAGAUUCUCAAUUCGAUUUUCAGAGCAUUAAUGUAGCAGCAAACAACUAUUUGCUAUGUGAAGAUACAGUGGAGUAAUGUCUAUAUGAGCAGAGAACGCUCUGGGUGUGUUGUAAAACGAGCUUCUCUGUGCUUUCUCAACAAAGCCGGUCAACCGCACGUGCACAUUAGUAUGUCCCACUGGCUGUAUGUAUAACUCUGCACUGCGCUCAUACGCUGUUACAGCUGGUAACGCCGUCUAGGGACACGGAAGCGUAACGGCCACCCUCCGGUUCCCCCCUAGUUAGCUCUGUCAACACUGUUGCUGUUGUUUGCACUGUUUUCGCUGUUAGCAUUGUUAGCAGUUAGCACCGUUAGCAGCUUUAGCUGAGAGCCAUGUUGAGACAAUCCCUCUGCUCUGACUUAAGAAUUGAAAACCUUUAAUAUUGAAUUUUUUUAAACAACGUUAAUUUUAUAGCAUUGAAAGCAUUUAUUUGUUCUGAAUUCACCUAUUUGAAAUGGAAAUAGGACAUUUAUUGAUUUGCAAUUUCAAAAGCUGAAUUUGAACAUA